RNAcentral lists this ribosomal RNA (468 nucleotides) under uncultured bacterium. RNAcentral describes it as "partial 16S ribosomal RNA". It matches the Rfam family "Bacterial small subunit ribosomal RNA", at positions 28 to 507 of the family's 1533-position model. The record is from RNAcentral.
GACGAACGCUGGCGGCGUGCUUAACACAUGCAAGUCGAACGGAAAGGCCCUGCUCUUGUGGGGUUCUCGAGUGCGGAACGGGUGAGUGUAACGUGUGUAACCUGCCCUUGUCUUUCGGAGAACAUCACGAAACUGCGGCUAAUAUCGGAUAGGAGAUCCUGAAGCGUGGUGGGGGUUGGAGAGUGUCGGCUGUGGGGGAUGGACUCGCGGCUUAUCAGCUUGUUGGUGGGGUAGUGGCUGACCAAGGCUUUGACGGGUAGCCGGCCUGAGAGGGUGACCGGCCACAAUGGGACUGAGAUAGGGCCCAGACUCCUACGGUCGGCAGCAGUGGGAAGUAUUGCAGAGUGGGCGGGAGCCUGAUGCAGCAACGUCGCGUGCGGGAUGACGGGCUUCGGGUUGUAAACCGCUUUCGCCUGUGACGAAGCGUGAGUGACGGUAAUGGGUAAAGAAGCACCGGCUAACUACGUG